CUUGGACAUGCUCUACAAAAAAAGGCAAUCAUGGUAUGCAAAUGCGCCAAACUAGAUUUUCUGCCAUUUUGAAUUUGGUGAAAAACACGUUUUUCGCCAUUUCUCCUAAACUUGGCUGCGUUUCUAGCCGUCCGGCCGGUGCUCCGACAUGCGGAGUGGCGAGGACCCGUCCAACGCUGCUUGCAGCUUUAGUUUCUCUUUGUAGCCGAUGAGUCUCCUGCUGAAAAUGAUGAGCCCGAAAUGUGCAAUGAGGAGGCUGUGACUACAGAGACAGAUGUUUCAACUGAUGAUGACAACACAAUUUCAAAGGGAGCUGUAGCGCGUUCUAGGAACUCUACAGGAAAUCCUUCACAGUUUUUGUUUCAGAAGUCUGCCAGUGCCUCCCCAAAAUUAAAAAAAAAAAAACACAAAUACAUCAACCUCUCCACCACCACACAGUCUUUAUCCUGGGUCUGAGGAUCUUUUCCAGACUGAAGAGAAAGGCAGCGGCCACACAACUUUCUCCAACACCUUCAUGGCUGUCGUAGCAUCUUUGGAUGACACGUGGGUUUCAGAUGGAAUCUCCACUCCUCGCACCCCCAAUCCUGUCUCGGCAAGGAAAUCUGGAAGACAAUCCCCCAGUCAAAUGUGGAAAGGCAAAAAGGGUAUAUUUUUCCCAUGUCCACAGCAAGUAAGUAAACGCUUUGCCAAUUCUAUAUUUGUCUGUAAUAUAUUCAUCAAUGACCAUGCAAACAACAUUUUAUGAAUUUGUUGUUUUUGUAAGAAUUCCAAAGGGUGGUCCUUGGGAAGUCAAGGUGGACCUGACGGAAGAGGUUCACCAAAUUAGAAGGGAGGUGGAGCCCGACGGUUUUAUCCACGAGGUCCCAAAAUUAAAACUGCAAGUGGAACUUGAUGUGCUGGAGGGGACAUUAAAAGAUGCAGACCAGCGGACAUCAUUGGUAAAAAUUAGAUAAUGGUUAAACUUUUUGGAAAUGUAUUUUUACAAAAGAGGUUAUUUAUUUAUUUCAGACCCAGAGGGAUCCAUAAUACAGUGCAAAGCAGACACACAUUGUAAUAGAUACAAAAAACUAAAAAUAAAUAAAAAGAAUAGCAAUACAACGUAUAAAACCCUUCAACAGUUCAUUGUCUAACAUACUUGUUCUCCAGUGGUUCCACAACCUGGACGCAAAUCUUACAGAACUUAGUCCUGUGUUAGCCAACACAAUGAUUAUGUCAUUUUCUGACUCCGAUACCCUAUCCAUUAAUCUGUACAUCAAGUUGCGCAAUACUGCAGUACAGGUACUUUUCAUGUAAACAAUAUUAACACAUUAAGAAAUACCUUAAAACACAUAUACACAAUUUUGACAGGUUCAUUUGCUGGCCAAAGUAGGGGGCAAGACGGUGAAGGAUGCAACCAAUAAAAUAUUGGACAGGUAUGAACAUCAUACAGACACUGUAAUAUCUGCCAAAUAUAGAAGUCAAAAGUAAACCAUAAACAAACAACUGAAAUUGCAGGGAUACAUUAUGGAGGAAUUACUGGCAGUUGAAAAUGCGGAAGUGACCCUAUUUUGUGAUUCUCAGACUUUUCACAAACCAAUUAAUGCCCACUUUCAACAUGAAAGGGGGUGGCCAAAAAAACAAGAAGGCUUUUAGGGUUACUGGGCUGUACGCGGUGAUUAAAAGGUAUGUUCAGAUAUGUAAAAUACAUUUAAUGAGUGGUUGUACUGUAAAAGUCUAUUUUCAUGUUGAUAUAUAAUCAAUAAGGCUGUCAUGCGGCCAUACAGCAGUGCCACAGAGGCAGAGGUUAAUAAGGCGAUGGCGGACCAUUUGAAGCAGGCUCCUGGGAGGUCCGGUGGGGGCGGUUUUUAAAAAAGGAGACGUCACAGACCGGACGUAACUAGUUCAAUUGUUGGAUCAGAAUGUUCUUUUGCAGUUUCAGUUCACAUGUAUAUUUCUUUUAAAUAUUUUUAUAUUUUAUGAAAUACUCAUAUUUAGACUUGUAUGAUUGUUUUUAAGAAUCAUUAUGUAUGUUGUAAUUAUAUUGUUUAUUAA
Long non-coding RNA from Gasterosteus aculeatus aculeatus (three-spined stickleback), 2031 nucleotides. The record is from Ensembl. NCBI's taxonomy places the organism in Eukaryota, Metazoa, Chordata, Actinopteri, Perciformes, Gasterosteidae.